This 449-nucleotide ribosomal RNA is filed under the name Limnohabitans sp. RNAcentral describes it as "bacterial SSU rRNA". It matches the Rfam family "Bacterial small subunit ribosomal RNA", at positions 410 to 852 of the family's 1533-position model. The record is from RNAcentral. Lineage: Bacteria; Pseudomonadati; Pseudomonadota; Betaproteobacteria; Burkholderiales; Comamonadaceae.
GAAGGCCUUCGGGUUGUAAACUGCUUUUGUACGGAACGAAAAGGUCUCUAUUAAUACUAGGGGCUCAUGACGGUACCGUAAGAAUAAGCACCGGCUAACUACGUGCCAGCAGCCGCGGUAAUACGUAGGGUGCAAGCGUUAAUCGGAAUUACUGGGCGUAAAGCGUGCGCAGGCGGUUAUAUAAGACAGAUGUGAAAUCCCCGGGCUCAACCUGGGAACUGCAUUUGUGACUGUAUAGCUGGAGUGCGGCAGAGGGGGAUGGAAUUCCGCGUGUAGCAGUGAAAUGCGUAGAUAUGCGGAGGAACACCGAUGGCGAAGGCAAUCCCCUGGGCCUGCACUGACGCUCAUGCACGAAAGCGUGGGGAGCAAACAGGAUUAGAUACCCUGGUAGUCCACGCCCUAAACGAUGUCAACUGGUUGUUGGGUCUUCACUGACUCAGUAACGAAGC